RNAcentral lists this unclassified non-coding RNA (858 nucleotides) under Hevea brasiliensis (rubber tree). Lineage: Eukaryota; Viridiplantae; Streptophyta; Magnoliopsida; Malpighiales; Euphorbiaceae. The record is from RNAcentral.
UACUCGAACAACUAAAUUUUAAUAAUUUUUUUUAUCAGAGAUAAAUAUAUUUUUCAGGGAAUAAAAGACCAGACGCAAGUACAAAGAGAGGUAGAUCUCUACAAACAGAUAAAGCUCAAACAAGUAAGUCCAUAGCUAAAACUAGGGCAACAAAAAAAAGGUCCCAAAAAACAACCCAAACCACAGCAACAAAGGUUGAAGCCAAACCCAAUAUAACCCUAACUCUACAUUAAACCCGCAUGAGAGGAAGGAUUCAGCAGUCAGUACAAGUAACAUCGCUCCUCGACAAGCCGAAACUAGAUAAGUCACUCCAAAGAAGAUAAGAAACACUAGGAAUUGACCAACAAGGCUAACAUAAAAGACAAUUCCUUGCAUAAAACUUCUCCAAGAGGUUGAGCUACUAAGGACUCCAAGAGCACCAAAAAACGCAGCCAUGGUCGAAGCAAGAUCUGUACCAAAGGACAUUGAUGAUCAGCAAGGCAAAGUUCUCUAAACUCUAAUGGCCGUUGAGAGGCUGAGUGCCACAAGAGGGGCGUUGGAAAGCGUCUUCAAGAGAUACCAUGCCCAUUAAAAUUUCUGAACCCGCCGAUUUGAAGCCAUGGUCUUGUUUCCAAACAGCGAAAGCACUCCUACCGAAAGACCCCUUUCUCUGCAUGCAACACCUAAAAUGAAACCAAACUAGCAAACACAAGGUAGAUCACAACUAAACCCUCUCCAAGCAGCUCAGGCCUACAACAAAAACCAUAAUCACUAUUAUUUAUACACAAAGGAGGCCGCUUGACGGCAGAUCGACAGAGGUCGAGCGCCUUUGAAAGGCGAACCAUUUGAGAGAAAACUCUCACAAACGGCAACAGGUCG